ACAUACGACCACAGACUGAGGAACAUUGGGCAUCCCGUCCGCUCUGCCAUACACAAGCCUCAGAUCGAUGAAUUAGUAGUUGGGUGGGUGACCACCAGCGAAUUCUCAUUGUUGUAUGUU
Molecule: ribosomal RNA, 120 nt
Organism: Oidiodendron maius Zn
Lineage: Eukaryota; Fungi; Ascomycota; Leotiomycetes; Myxotrichaceae
Source: Rfam